UACGUAGGGUCCGAGCGUUGUCCGGAAUUAUUGGGCGUAAAGGGCUCGUAGGCGGUUUGUCGCGUCGGGAGUGAAAACACGGGGCUUAACCCCGUGCCUGCUUCCGAUACGGGCAGACUAGAGGUAUGCAGGGGAGAACGGAAUUCCUGGUGUAGCGGUGAAAUGCGCAGAUAUCAGGAGGAACACCGGUGGCGAAGGCGGUUCCCUGGGCAUUACAUGACGCUGAGGAGCGAAAGUGUGGGGAGCGAACAGG
RNAcentral lists this ribosomal RNA (253 nucleotides) under uncultured bacterium. RNAcentral's name for it is "partial 16S ribosomal RNA". It matches the Rfam family "Bacterial small subunit ribosomal RNA", at positions 524 to 776 of the family's 1533-position model. The record is from RNAcentral.